Molecule: ribosomal RNA, 2427 nt
Filed under: human gut metagenome
Description: bacterial LSU rRNA
Rfam family: Bacterial large subunit ribosomal RNA
Source: RNAcentral
AGUCAGUGGCGGGUGGCGAGCAUAAGCCGUGUGGCGUAUGCGUAGCGAAAGCGAGUCUUAAAAGGCGUUUUUUAGUCGCUUGUCCUGGACCCGAAGCGGGAUGAUCUAGCCCUGGGCAGGUUGAAGCGCGGGUAAGACCGCGUGGAGGACCGAACCCACCUGGGUUGAAAACCGGGGGGAUGACCUGGGGCUAGGGGUGAAAGGCCAAUCAAAUUCCGUGAUAGCUGGUUCUCUCCGAAAUGCAUUUAGGUGCAGCGUCGGUCGAUUGCGUCGCGGGGGUAGAGCUACCGGAUGCUUGCGGGCCCUUGUUGGGUACCAACAGCAGCCGAACUCCGAAUACCGUUGACGUGUAUUCCGGCAGUGAGUCGGCGGGGGAUAAGCUCCGUCGUCGAGAGGGAGACAGCCCAGACCGUCGUCUAAGGUCCCGAAGCGUGUGCUAAGUGGGAAAGGAUGUGGAGUCGCAUAGACAGCCAGGAGGUUGGCUCAGAAGCAGCCAUCCUUGAAAGAGUGCGUAACAGCUCACUGGUCUAGUGGUUCCGCGCCGACAAUGUAGCGGGGCUCAAGCACACCACCGAAGACGCGGCAGCAAUCUUCAUGGUUGCUGGGUAGGAGAGCGUCCUGCGAGGGGCGAAGCGGCGGUGGAAACCGGCCGUGGACUUCGUGGGAGUGAGAAUGCAGACAUGAGUAGCGAGAGACGGGUGAGGAUCCCGUCCGCUGGAUGACCAAGGGUUCCGGGGCCACGUUCGUCGUCCCCGGGUGAGUCGGGUCCUAAGGCGAGGCCGACAGGCGUAGUCGAAUGGAUGAACGGGUGGAUAUUCCCGUACCGACCAUGGACCGGCAAAACCGAGACGGUGAGUACUAACCUCCGCCUCGUGGUGGUUCCUUCCUUCGGGUUGGUAUCGCCGCGUGGCGUUGGGAGCGUAGCCGCAGUAGGUCAGCGCAGGGGUGACACGGAAUGGGAGCCGGCCGCGGAGGUGGUUUUCCGUGGUCAAGCACGCAGCCAGUCAUGUAGGCAAAUCCGCAUGGCGCGCAUGGCGAGGUGUGAUGAUGGGAGCCGUUAUGGCUCGAUAUCCGGUUGUCCAGGCCGUCGAGAAAAGCCUCGGCGUGAGGGCCAUGGCCGCCCGUACCCCAAACCGACACUGGUGGUCAGGUAGAGAAUACCAAGGCGAUCGAGCGAAUCCUGGUCAAGGAACUCGGCAAAUCACUCCCGUGCCUUCGGUAUAAGGGAGACCCGCUGGGGUGAACCGGCUAGCCCGGGGAGCUUUGGUGGGUGGCACAGACCAGGGGGUAGCGACUGUUUACCAAAAACACAGGUGCAUGCGAAGGCGAAAGCCGCUGUAUAUGCACUGACGCCUGCCCGGUGCCGGAAGGUUAAGAGGAUCCGUCAAUCCCUUCGGGGAUGAAGCGGUGAAUUCAAGCCCCGGUAAACGGCGGUGGUAACUAUAACCAUCCUAAGGUAGCGAAAUUCCUUGUCGGGUAAGUUCCGACCUGCACGAAUGGCGUAACGACUUCCCCACUGUCUCGACCAGGAGCUCGGCGAAAUUGCAGUACGAGUAAAGAUGCUCGUUAAGCGCAGAAGGACGAAAAGACCCCGGGACCUUUACUAUACCUUGGUAUUGGCGUUAGGCGCGGAUUGUGUAGCAUAGGCGGGAGGCUUCGAAGCGUGGGCGCCAGCUCAUGUGGAGCCGCAAGGUGAAAUACCGCUCUGUUCUCGUUUGACGUCUAACCUCGACAAGUCAUCCUUGUCAGGGACAGUGCCUGGCGGGUAGUUCAACUGGGGCGGUUGCCUCCCAAAGAGUAACGGAGGCGCUCAAAGGUCCGCUCAGCCCGGUUGGCAAUCGGGUGUCGAGUGUAAUCGCACAAGCGGGCUUGACUGCGAGGACGACGGUCCGAGCAGGGACGAAAGUCGGAGAUAGUGAUCCGGUGCCGGCGCACGGGCGCGGCAUCGCUCAACGGAUAAAAGGUACCCCGGGGAUAACAGGCUGAUCAUUCCCAAGAGUCCAUAUCGACGGGAUGGUUUGGCACCUCGAUGUCGGCUCGUCGCAUCCUGGGGCUGGAGCAGGUCCCAAGGGUUCGGCUGUUCGCCGAUUAAAGCGGCACGCGAGCUGGGUUCAGAACGUCGUGAGACAGUUUGGUCUCUAUCCUCUGCGCUCGUUGGAAUCCUGAGGAGGCCUGCCCAUAGUACGAGAGGACCUGGGUGGACGAACCUCUGGUAUGCCGGUUGUCGCGCCAGCGGCACGGCCGGUUGGCUACGUUCGGGAGGGAUAACCGCUGAAAGCAUCUAAGCGGGAAGCCUGCUCCAAGAUUAGGAUUCCAUGGAUCUUCGAGAUCCUGUAGCCCGCAUGUUGAACACGUGUUUGAUAGGCCGGAGGUGGAAGCCCCGUGAGGGGUGGAGCCGACCGGUACUAACGGGCGAUGGCGACAUAA